CCUACGGGAGGCAGCAGUGAGGAAUAUUGGUCAAUGGACGAGAGUCUGAACCAGCCAAGUAGCGUGAAGGAUGAAUGCCCUAUGGGUUGUAAACUUCUUUUAUAAAGGAAUAAAACGCGGCACGUGUGCCUUUUUGCAUGUACUUUAUGAAUAAGGAUCGGCUAACUCCGUGCCAGCAGCCGCGGUAAUACGGAGGAUCCGAGCGUUAUCCGGAUUUAUUGGGUUGAAAGGGAGCGUAGAUGGGUUGUUAAGUCAGUUGUGAAAGUUUGCGGCUCAACCGUAAAAUUGCAAUUGAUACUGGCAGUCUUGAGUACAGUUGAGGUAGGCGGAAUUCGUGGUGUAGCGGUGAAAUGCUUAGAUAUCACGAAGAACCCCGAUUGCGAAGGCAGCUUACUAAACUGUGACUGACAUUGAUGCUCGAAAGUGUGGGUAGCAAACAGGAUUAGAUACCCCUGUAGUC
Molecule: ribosomal RNA, 460 nt
Filed under: uncultured bacterium
Lineage: Bacteria
Description: partial 16S ribosomal RNA
Rfam family: Bacterial small subunit ribosomal RNA
Source: RNAcentral